AAUUUGCCUGGCGGCUUUAGCGCGGUGGUCCCACCUGACCCCAUGCCGAACUCAGAAGUGAAACGCCGUAGCGCCGAUGGUAGUGUGGGGUCUCCCCAUGUGAGAGUAGGGAACUGCCAGGCAU
Molecule: ribosomal RNA, 124 nt
Filed under: Enterobacter cloacae subsp. cloacae ATCC 13047
Lineage: Bacteria; Pseudomonadati; Pseudomonadota; Gammaproteobacteria; Enterobacterales; Enterobacteriaceae
Source: RNAcentral